This is a non-coding RNA of Angiostrongylus costaricensis, 144 nucleotides long. The record is from Rfam. Lineage: Eukaryota; Metazoa; Nematoda; Chromadorea; Rhabditida; Metastrongylidae.
GUCCUUCCUUCUUGGCGCUUCUAUCUAUUGAAUGAUAGAAGUGUAUGUAGUGGAAGGUACAUAAUGUCCUUUGGAUAUUCGGGUCAGCUUCGGUGCUAUUCUGUUCACUGUCGAGUAGUAUCAUCCUCUGGGCUCGAGACAGUU